This 468-nucleotide ribosomal RNA is filed under the name uncultured bacterium. RNAcentral describes it as "partial 16S ribosomal RNA". It matches the Rfam family "Bacterial small subunit ribosomal RNA", at positions 28 to 507 of the family's 1533-position model. The record is from RNAcentral.
GAUGAACGCUGGCGGCGUGCUUAACACAUGCAAGUCGAACGGAAAAGCCCUGGUUUUCUCGGGUGCUCCAGUGGCGAACGGGUGAGUAACACGUGAGUAAUCUGCCCUUGACUUUGGGAUAACCGCAGGAAACUGCGGCUAAUACUGGAUACGAGCUCCUACUGCAUCGUGGGCGUUGGGAAGGUACGGCGGUUGGGGAUGGACUCGCGGCCUAUCAGCUUGUUGGUGGGGUAGUGGCUUACCAAGGCGUUGACGGGUAGCCGGCCUGAGAGGGUGACCGGCCACAUUGGGACUGAGAUACGGCCCAGACUCCUACGGGAGGCAGCAGUGGGGAAUAUUGCACAAUGGGCGGAAGCCUGAUGCAGCAACGCCGCGUGCGGGAUGACGGCCUUCGGGUUGUAAACCGCUUUCGCCUGUGACGAAGCGUGAGUGACGGUAAUGGGUAAAGAAGCACCGGCUAACUACGUG